Molecule: ribosomal RNA, 113 nt
Filed under: Cordylochernes scorpioides
Lineage: Eukaryota; Metazoa; Arthropoda; Arachnida; Pseudoscorpiones; Chernetidae
Source: RNAcentral
AUGGCCAUACCACAUUGAAAACACCGGUUCUCGUCCGAUCACCGAAGCAAUGUCAGGCCCGGUCAGUACUUGGGAGGGUGACCACCUGAGAACACCGGGUGCUGUUGGAUAUU